UGUGUUUGUGCUCGUAGAUCCAAGUCCUUCACUUGGUAGAGUCUAGGAGUUGAAAAAUCCUUCAUGUUUCUCACAGUGUGUCCUGCUCAUAGAGACAAGGCAGAGAUGAAGUGCAUGGGUCCUGUUGGUGGAAAACACCAACAGAACCAAAAGUAUAUUUAUUCUUCUCUAUCCUUAAGCAUAGGGAGCAAGACAAAGUUGAUGGGUGAUAAGUUCAUGAGUGUAGCAUUUAAAACAUUUGUCAGAUCAGAUCGCUCAACCUUAUGGAAAGAUAAUCUAUCUAUGUAUAUGUCUUUUUCUUUAUAUCUUCCCAAAGAUUGAAUGUGCAACAGUCUAGCUCAUAUGAUUAGGAGUGUG
RNAcentral lists this long non-coding RNA (357 nucleotides) under Sorghum bicolor (sorghum). Its description in RNAcentral is "long non-coding RNA (SBIC_LNC006997)". Lineage: Eukaryota; Viridiplantae; Streptophyta; Magnoliopsida; Poales; Poaceae. The record is from RNAcentral.